Molecule: ribosomal RNA, 432 nt
Filed under: uncultured bacterium
Lineage: Bacteria
Description: partial 16S ribosomal RNA
Rfam family: Bacterial small subunit ribosomal RNA
Source: RNAcentral
AGCGAACGCUGGCGGCAGGCCUAACACAUGCAAGUCGAACGGACCCUUCGGGGUUAGUGGCUGACGGGUGAGUAACACGUGGGAACGUGCCUUUAGGUUCGGAAUAGCUCCUGGAAACGGGUGGUAAUGCCGAAUGUGCCCUUCGGGGGAAAGAUUUAUCGCCUUUAGAGCGGCCCGCGUCUGAUUAGCUAGUUGGUGAGGUAACGGCUCACCAAGGCGACGAUCAGUAGCUGGUCUGAGAGGAUGACCAGCCACACUGGGACUGAGACACGGCCCAGACUCCUACGGGAGGCAGCAGUGGGGAAUCUUGCGCAAUGGGCGAAAGCCUGACGCAGCCAUGCCGCGUGAAUGAUGAAGGUCUUAGGAUUGUAAAAUUCUUUCACCGGGGACGAUAAUGACGGUACCCGGAGAAGAAGCCCCGGCUAACUUCGU